CAGUUGGAACACAGCAGUGAAAGUGUUUGUGUUCACUUUGCAGAUUCAAAGAUGGUCUUUCAGCUCUUCAGUUUCUGAGUGCACUACAGCAACACCCUACUUUGCUGACCCCGGUCCUGUGCCACGCUGAAAAGCGACUCACUGCCUUUGAACUUGAAAGAAUCUUCAAACCUGACCUCAGCCCUUCAGGAAGUACCAGGAGACUAAAAGAAAGUCAAACGUUGGCCUACUGGGUCGACCUUCUCCUUCAUUGUGAAGAAGGUGAGGCUGCUGUGUCUGUGGAGGAUAUUUUGAUGUUUGCAACUGGGCUGACAUCACUUCCCCCAUCUGGCUUGGAUCCAUUGCCACAAAUAGAGUUCCUGGAUGAUUCACCAUUCCCAAUGGCAAAUACAUGUUCAAAAGUUUUGAAAUGACCAC
Molecule: long non-coding RNA, 417 nt
Organism: Thalassophryne amazonica
Lineage: Eukaryota; Metazoa; Chordata; Actinopteri; Batrachoidiformes; Batrachoididae
Exons: 2
Source: RefSeq, a predicted model, not a curated record